AUUGAACGCUGGCGGCAUGCUUUACACAUGCAAGUCGGACGGCAGCACAGAGAAGCUUGCUUCUUGGGUGGCGAGUGGCGAACGGGUGAGUAAUAUAUCGGAACGUACCGAGUAAUGGGGGAUAACUAAUCGAAAGAUUAGCUAAUACCGCAUAUUCUCUGAGGAGGAAAGCAGGGGACCUUCGGGCCUUGCGUUAUUCGAGCGGCCGAUAUCUGAUUAGCUAGUUGGUGGGGUAAAGGCCUACCAAGGCGACGAUCAGUAGCGGGUCUGAGAGGAUGAUCCGCCACACUGGGACUGAGACACGGCCCAGACUCCUACGGGAGGCAGCAGUGGGGAAUUUUGGACAAUGGGCGCAAGCCUGAUCCAGCCAUGCCGCGUGUCUGAAGAAGGCCUUCGGGUUGUAAAGGACUUUUGUCAGGGAAGAAAAGGCUGUUGCUAAUAUCAAGAGCUGAUGACGGUACCUGAAGAAUAAGCACCGGCUAACUACGUG
This 490-nucleotide ribosomal RNA is filed under the name uncultured bacterium. RNAcentral's name for it is "partial 16S ribosomal RNA". It matches the Rfam family "Bacterial small subunit ribosomal RNA", at positions 30 to 507 of the family's 1533-position model. The record is from RNAcentral.